UACGUAGGGCGCAAGCGUUGUCCGGAAUUAUUGGGCGUAAAGGGCGCGUAGGCGGUGCGGUAAGUCUGUAGUGAAAUCUCUGGGCUCAACUCAGAGUCUGCUAUAGAAACUGCCGUGCUUGAGUGUGGGAGAGGUGAGUGGAAUUCCCAGUGUAGGAGUGAAAUCCGUAGAUAUUGGGAGGAACACCGAUGGCGUAGGCAGACUACUGGCUCAUUUCUGACACUAAGGCACGAAAGCGUGGGGAGCGAACGGG
RNAcentral lists this ribosomal RNA (253 nucleotides) under uncultured bacterium. RNAcentral describes it as "partial 16S ribosomal RNA". It matches the Rfam family "Bacterial small subunit ribosomal RNA", at positions 524 to 776 of the family's 1533-position model. The record is from RNAcentral.